Molecule: ribosomal RNA, 200 nt
Filed under: uncultured Glomus
Lineage: Eukaryota; Fungi; Glomeromycota; Glomeromycetes; Glomerales; Glomeraceae
Description: partial small subunit ribosomal RNA
Rfam family: Eukaryotic small subunit ribosomal RNA
Source: RNAcentral
CCAAUAGCGUAUAUUAAGGUUGCUGCGGUUAAAAAGCUCGUAGUUGAAUUUCGGAAUUGAUGCAUCGGUCGUACCUUAAGGGGCAUGAACUGGUGUAGCCAAUUUCUCACCUUCUGGUGAAUUGUGAUGUUCUUAAUGGGUGUCUCAAUGAACUAGAAUUUUUUACUUUGAAAAAAUUAGAGUGUUUAAAGCAGGCAUUA